RNAcentral lists this ribosomal RNA (253 nucleotides) under uncultured bacterium. Its description in RNAcentral is "partial 16S ribosomal RNA". It matches the Rfam family "Bacterial small subunit ribosomal RNA", at positions 524 to 776 of the family's 1533-position model. The record is from RNAcentral.
UACAGAGGGUGCGAGCGUUGUCCGGAAUUACUGGGCGUAAAGGGCGCGUAGGCGGCCCGAUAAGUAGGACGUGAAAUUCCGUGGCUUAACCACGGAACUGCGUUCUAGACUGUCAGGCUUGAGCACGGUAGAGGCAGAUGGAAUUCCCGGUGUAGCAGUGAAAUGCGUAGAGAUCGGGAGGAACAUCUGUGGCGAAGGCGGCCAUCUGGACCAGCACUGACACUGAGGCACGAAAGCGUGGGGAGCAAACAGG